This 253-nucleotide ribosomal RNA is filed under the name uncultured bacterium. RNAcentral's name for it is "partial 16S ribosomal RNA". It matches the Rfam family "Bacterial small subunit ribosomal RNA", at positions 524 to 776 of the family's 1533-position model. The record is from RNAcentral.
UACAGAGGUCCCAAGCGUUGUUCGGAUUCAUUGGGCGUAAAGGGUGCGUAGGCGGCGCGGCAAGUCGGGUGUGAAAUCUCGGAGCUUAACUCCGAAACUGCAUUCGAUACUGCUGUGCUUGAGGACUGGAGAGGAGACUGGAAUUUACGGUGUAGCGGUGAAAUGCGUAGAUAUCGUAAGGAAGACCAGUGGCGAAGGCGGGUCUCUGGACAGUUCCUGACGCUGAGGCACGAAGGUCAGGGGAGCAAACGGG